RNAcentral lists this ribosomal RNA (448 nucleotides) under uncultured bacterium. RNAcentral describes it as "bacterial SSU rRNA". It matches the Rfam family "Bacterial small subunit ribosomal RNA", at positions 329 to 794 of the family's 1533-position model. The record is from RNAcentral.
UUCCAGACUCCUACGGGAGGCAGCAGUGGGGAAUAUUGCACAAUGGGGGAAACCCUGAUGCAGCGACGCCGCGUGAGCGAUGAAGUAUUUCGGUAUGUAAAGCUCUAUCAGCAGGGAAGAAGAUGACGGUACCUGACUAAGAAGCCCCGGCUAACUACGUGCCAGCAGCCGCGGUAAUACGUAGGGGGCAAGCGUUAUCCGGAUUUACUGGGUGUAAAGGGAGCGUAGACGGCGGUGCAAGCCAGAUGUGAAAGCCCGGGGCUCAACCCCGGGACUGCAUUUGGAACUGUAUGGCUGGAGUGUCGGAGAGGCAGGCGGAAUUCCUAGUGUAGCGGUGAAAUGCGUAGAUAUUAGGAGGAACACCAGUGGCGAAGGCGGCCUGCUGGACGAUGACUGACGUUGAGGCUCGAAAGCGUGGGGAGCAAACAGGAUUAGAUACCCGAGUAGU